This 576-nucleotide ribosomal RNA is filed under the name uncultured eukaryote. RNAcentral's name for it is "SSU rRNA". It matches the Rfam family "Eukaryotic small subunit ribosomal RNA", at positions 192 to 797 of the family's 1831-position model. The record is from RNAcentral.
CUGGAAGGGGUGUAUUUAUUAGAUAAAAAUCAACUUUGUUGGUGAAUCAUAAUAACUUCUCGGACCGCAUGGCCUCGUGCUGGCGGUGCUUCAUUCAAAUAUCUGCCCUAUCAACUGUCGAUGGUAGGAUAGAGGCCUACCAUGGUUGCAACGGGUAACGGGGAAUAAGGGUUCGAUUCCGGAGAGGGAGCCUGAGAAACGGCUACCACAUCCAAGGAAGGCAGCAGGCGCGCAAAUUACCCAAUCCCAACACGGGGAGGUAGUGACAAUAUGUAACAAUAUACGGCCUUAUACAUCGUAUAAUUGGAAUGAGUACAAUUUAAAUCCCUUAACGAGGAACAAUUGGAGGGCAAGUCUGGUGCCAGCAGCCGCGGUAAUUCCAGCUCCAAUAGCGUAUAUUAAAGUUGUUGCAGUUAAAAAGCUCGUAGUUGGACCUUGGACCUGGACAGGCGGUCCGCCUCACGGCGAGUACUGUCUUGCUGGGUCUUUCCUCUUGGUGAUCUGUUGUUUCGGCAGCAGGGAACCAGGACCUUUACUUUGAAAAAAUUAGAGUGUUCAAAGCAGGCUCGACGCCGG